GACGGAACGCGUGGCGGCGUCGCCGUAACGACAUGCAAGUCGAGCGAAGUGCUUUUAACAGAGUUCCUUCGGGGAUAGGAAGACUAAAGUAUCUUAGCGGCGGACGGGUGAGUAACGCGUGAGAAACCUGCCUUUCACAAGGGAAUAGCCUCGGGAAACUGGGAUUAAUGCCCUAUGAUACUUUUAAAUCGCAUGAUUUUUAAGUUAAAACGUAAAGUGGUGAAAGAUGGUCUCGCGUCCCAUUAGUUAGUUGGUGAGGUAAUGGCUCACCAAGACUUCGAUGGGUAGCCGGCCUGAGAGGGUGAACGGCCACACUGGAACUGAGACACGGUCCAG
RNAcentral lists this ribosomal RNA (336 nucleotides) under uncultured bacterium. Its description in RNAcentral is "bacterial SSU rRNA". It matches the Rfam family "Bacterial small subunit ribosomal RNA", at positions 27 to 334 of the family's 1533-position model. The record is from RNAcentral.